RNAcentral lists this long non-coding RNA (2371 nucleotides) under Gallus gallus (chicken). Its description in RNAcentral is "lncRNA (ENSGALG00010020469.1)". Lineage: Eukaryota; Metazoa; Chordata; Aves; Galliformes; Phasianidae. The record is from RNAcentral.
AUGGAUUCUUCAUCUCGGAGGUGAAGUUGUCUUUUUCAUCUCAUGUCAAAACAAAUGAGGUAGUCAAAGCGUGUACUUCUACAUCAUUACAGUUGAAGCCUCCAGUAUGAUGAAUCUGUCUUGAGCUCUUUUUAGUUCCAGAGUGAGAUUAGAAAACGCAUUAGCAGAGCUCUUCAUUUAUUCUCAUGUAGUAUAGACCUCUCUUCCCAUCACUGUAAGUAGCACUUAAAUAAGGACACUCUCAAUCAGAUAGCAAGUUGCAGGACUUAUUUUGUUGGUGGUUAGGCUGGUCCAACCACCAUCUUAGUCAGUGUAUGGAGGGAUCUGAAGCUUGUAGGUGAGCAGCUGGGACCUGCUCGAACUGAAUACAAGGAACUUGCAGCUUCUAUUACAUGAGAUCUGCCAGCAUAUUUAAUGAUCCUUUUGUUGGAAUCUAAAUGGAAGGUGUUUUCAAAUGGGUCGGCAGUGCUGUGGUUGUACUGUAAAGGCACACUUGAACCUCCCUGCAGUCUUUUCCUGAUGGCUUUUCUGCAGGUCUUGGUUUAUGAAGAUACAGGUUACAGAGACAGGGCAUUAAGCAAGGACAUUAAGAACUAUUAUCUCCAGUAUUGAAUUUAGCCAGGCUACUUGUGUGUCAUCUGUCCUGGGUCUGUCACAAGUUCCUGGACCACAGCCCUCUGACACGUGGUGCCUUGCCCUUUUUCUUCUCCCUUGACUUAAAGGACUUUUGUGGGCAGCCUACGACUCGCUAUAGUCUAUUCCAAUGCUUAAAAUAGCAAUGUAUAUAAUCAGGGGAUCGUCUUUCAGCUCUGCUCCUCAAAUUUGCCUCUGGCCAUAGGGAUUAAGUCCUAGAGGGAGGGUUAGCUUAAUAUGUGACUUUGUACCAUAUAGCCCCAAAGUUAUAGUGUCUAUCAACUCUUCAGCAGCAAAGCUGAAGACGGCUACAGCUCAAAAGAGCAGAGCAGUAACUUCAGGAAUUAAUUGCCAAACAGUUCAGUCACCUGGAUUGCUUCCAAGUUGUCUUUUCUUAAGUAACAUAAUAUCUGUCUGGAGUUCAUUGAAAUUCUUUACAGCCUUUUCCAAGGAGAUCAGAAAAGGCCCUGGUCUUGUGCUGCGCGUGUAAGUCAUUUGUUGUGUAGAGUGUCAUGUCAAGUCCUGGUCCAUGUCCUUAUUCUGGCAGGUCUGUUGGUUGGGCAGGUCCCAGAGCCACAGCAACUCAAGCAGUGUUUCCUUCCAGGGUUUCUGAUCCCAGGCAAAAAGCAAACAGCUUGUCUUGGUGUCAGGGCUUCCUGAGCUUUAUCCAAGCUUAGAACGGCCCAAAGCAACACAGACCCAAGCAAGGGCUGCCUUGUAACCGUGCCCCUUUUAUUGCUGGGAGUGUCGCUUACAGUGGCCUGGGCUUCUCUCAGCUCUUAGGGAAGCUCAGACGUAAGUGCUGUCAAUGAGUCCAAGCAGUUGCCAGCUCUCCACACUGCAGCAAAAGGGUUUCUGGGAUUAUCCUGAACGAUUCCAUUUCGAACACUUUGUUUUGAACACUCUUGGUUUUGCUGGUUAAUCAAUGGACAAAAACACUGCAAUCCAGGGCAGCAUUUAUCAGGUUGGAUCUGUUGGUGUCAAACAAUCUUUUCCGUGUCUGUCUGAUAACACUCUCAAAAAACCCUGGCCCUGUGUGCUCUGUGGAUAGACCAUGACUCUUCUUCUCACCCUAUGGCCUUGCCUAACCCAGGUGACUUUAAUGCCAGUGAGGAGCGGUCCCACUAGGUGGCUCUACACAAAGCCUUCCUGCUGUUGUCUGAAUGACGAGCUUGCAUCAUCUGUCAGCAGACAUGCAAGAGCUUCGAUUAGAUGCAGAAUUUCCUUCUAGGAUCUCCGUUACAGCUUUGCAGGGAUGCUGACCCUUCUGAUGACGAGUCUGACAUAACCAAACCUUACUGCUCAGCCCAAGUCAGCAGCUUUCCAAAGGAGCAUGUUUUCUGACAGCUCUCCCCUAUUUCCCAAUGACACAUCACUAGAAACUCUGGAGAAAGCAUUCACCUCUUUGCAAGAGGAGCCCUUUCUCUGAAAUGCCAAACUGGAGGCUGCGUGGAGCCCUCAGAAAGGCAGGCCUGUCCUCUUCUUGUGCUGCCCAUGCAGCCGUGUUAGAACAGACUGAGUGACUUCUGAUGCUCUCGGUGAGCAGUGCGGUUUACUGUGAGAAUGUUCUCAAUUUGGCACAGUUAUACUCUGGAACAAUCUCUAAAUGCUGCCCUGAAGAAGCUUGUGUACCGAGAUACCCUCCUGCUGCCAUGUUCUGAGUCAGAUUCUCUGAAGCUGACAGCUGCAGGGGAGAUGAUUUGCAACUAGCAAUGCAAUUUUUCUAUAUCUGCUGAUG